GGGGCGCACCGGCUGGGGGCGCUGCGCGGGGGCGCGGGGCCUGACGGGCGGGGGCGCCGGGGCUGCCGACUGGGCUGAGGUGAGGGAGUGUGAGGAGGUGAGGAACUGUGAGGGGGCCGGGGGAGGACGCCGCCGCCCGCCCGCGCCGAGCUGUGCCAGGGGCACCCAGCCGCUGCUGCCGGGGAGAAGCGGGGCGGACCCCGCGCCAAGGCUGAGGAAGUGCGCGAGGGGCGGCCGGCUCGGCAAGCCCGGACCCGCUGCCUCCCUUUCCGCAGGCGGGGAGAGAAGGCUCAGGCGCCUCCUAGCCCCCGCCACCCGCUUCCUUUCCUGCUGCCCCCGGGGCUGCCCCCGGCCCCUCGGGGACGCUCGGGGGCGCGACGCCACGGUCUAGCCGCGGGAGAAGCGGGUUUGCAUUUGUUAAUGGUGGUUUCCGCGCUGCGCCGUGAGGAUUCCUCCACUCUCCGGCCCGCCGCCGCCCCGACUCUCGGGAAAGGUGCCGCCACCGCCGGGCGGGCGGGCUCAGCCCUCCCGGGCAAAGGGGUGCGAGUCGGCGACCCCGACCCCCCGGCGCGGGCUGGGGCUCCUGUGACCCUCCAGACCCACCUACAGGAGCCAGGGCGGCAGUGACUCUGCUCCCAUUCGCCCCCAAAACGAGCUUUCAAAUGGCAACUGACCGCGGCUGCCACCGUCUUUCAGUCACCGUCCACCCGGCUCCCAAAUCUGCGGGAGACGCGCCCCGACCCCAGUGCACGAGGGCCGGGCAGGGAAGAGCGCGGGGCACACACCCGAGGCCGGUCGGCGGCGCGCUGCUGGCGGCCCUGCUGACGAGCCUGCUCCCGCGCCAGCCCCUCCAGGCUUCCCGUUAGGAAGCUUGCAAAUCCUGUUCCCUGUGUUUGGACCGCACGGAUUUCCUUUAUCAUGCACUUAAGCUAACUGUUACUCAUCUCCAAGCUCCAGAGACAAGAGCUUUGCCCAGACUGAUCUUGAACUCCUGAACUCAAAGGAUCCUUCUGCCUUGGCCUCUCAAAGUGGUGGGAUUACAGGCAUUAGCCACCACACCUGAGCAAUAUUGGCAAUUUUUAAAGUUAGAAAGCUAUUCCAUCUUAAACACUUCCGGAAGAAUUUUUCACCUCAAUCUACCAACUCACUAAUUUUUACUUUGCCAGUAGCUCAUGAGAAUUUGAAUUUAAAAAUGAGCUUUGGAUAGCAGAUGUAAGACAGAACUUCUGGAUGUUAUUCAGUGUCUCAGCAGUCCUGUGACUAUUGCCUGAGGAACACUGAAGGACAGCCAGCUAAGAAUUGCCCGGGCGUGGUGGCUCAAGCCUGUAAUCCCAGAACUUUGGGAGGCCGAGGCGGGUGGAUCACGAGGUCAAGAGAUCGAGACCAUCCCAGUCAACAUGGUGAAACCCCGUCUCUACUAAAAAUACAAAAAAUUAGCUGGGCGUGGUGGUGCGUGCCUGUAAUCCCGGGUGCUCGGGAGGCUGAGGCAGGAGAAUUGCCUGAAUCCAGGAGGCGGAGGUUGCAGUGAGCCGAGAUUGCGCCAUUGCACUCCCGCCUGGGUAACAAGAGCGAAACUCUGUCUCCAAAAAAAAAAAAAGCUAAGAUUUAUAAAAUAUACAAGCCUAUUCAAACUAAGUAUUUCAAAUAGUGAUUAAUGAAUGUAUUUGUAGAAAUUGUGUAACAAGAUACUUCCAUCUGAUUUGUAAAAAGAUUUCAGUAAAUAAAAGGAACAUGUUGUGUAUUUUGUUUGUUA
Non-coding RNA from Callithrix jacchus (white-tufted-ear marmoset), 1753 nucleotides. Lineage: Eukaryota; Metazoa; Chordata; Mammalia; Primates; Cebidae. The record is from RefSeq and is a predicted model, not a curated record.